Long non-coding RNA from Pygocentrus nattereri (red-bellied piranha), 294 nucleotides. The record is from Ensembl. NCBI's taxonomy places the organism in Eukaryota, Metazoa, Chordata, Actinopteri, Characiformes, Serrasalmidae.
CCCACACUCCGCACUGUCCACUGAGUUACACAGCUGUGAAAGGUCUUUACAGGAGACGACCUGCUGUCAUGACUUCCCCAACAUCAGGAAAUAUCAGAGCAGCACUGACCCUCAUAUUACUGGCAGCCACAUGGUGCCGCCUACCUAGAGGACAACCCCUCUGGCACAGUGUGCUAGACUAUUAGAAAGGUGGACAGUAAAAGGCAAAGUUAAAGACAGAGGCUGGAAGUUGGCUGUUCAUGAUAAAUUCAAUGCAACAUCAGGUCAGUUUCCAUCACUCACCCAGCCUGCAUU